This is a long non-coding RNA of Neodiprion fabricii, 1590 nucleotides long. RefSeq lists it as uncharacterized. The transcript is spliced from 2 exons. The record is from RefSeq and is a predicted model, not a curated record. NCBI's taxonomy places the organism in Eukaryota, Metazoa, Arthropoda, Insecta, Hymenoptera, Diprionidae.
GCCUUGUAGCUCCACCACGUCCCAAGUGUUUUUGAAGGGUUGGUUAGCCACGACGUCAGCAUACGUAAUUUUGCCGGUUGUAUCUUCUAUGGUUUUCCGAAUCCCUCCAGCGUUUAUGUAAGCUAUCGCAGCAUAAGUCCAUGGCUUACUCACAGCAUCAACCAUGGCGUCGGUGAUUAAGUUUCCCACAUUACACUCUCCGUAUCUGCAAUAGUUGUAAAGUCGGACCUUGGUCGUUCCAACCGUUGUGUCGCCCAACUCGUCAACCGCCACUUGCCACGGUACUAGGGCAGCCAGUACGUCAGGAUCUGUAGCAACAAUCGUGCGCUUGAAGAUCACCCCCACUCUUAUUAUGACCGGAACAAUGAAUGGAGAGAUGAAGGAGCCUACCUUCUUCGAUGGAGCUGUCGAGUAGAAUAGGAUUCCCUUCCCAAUUGUAGACUUCACCAUCGGCGUCGAACCAAACGCUGAUGUUACCCAGGUAUCUGAAAUUGUCAAUGAUCGCGGUUGUUGCUGCUAAUCAAGUCCUAAUGGGCUUAAGAUACGGAUAAGUUUUGACAAAUAACCCUACGUGGUAUAAGCAUAAGCCUGAACGAUGAGUACCGUCCUUUGAGUGUCUUCCUGGACCACCACGACCGGAUACUCAUCCUCGGCAACGUCGGAACUUGGCGAAGUUCCUGAAAUCGUGACAGUUUUAGCAAUGAGGUGACAUAUUAUGUGCGUCAGUCUCAAAAAUUAAUUACAUAUAUCGCACCUGAGUAAAGAAAAGUGUGAGAGUGGCCACCGACAAUGAGGUCAACCUUUGGGCAAUUGGCAGCUAAUUCUCUGUCCACAUCCAGACCGCAGUGCCUUAGAACAAUGAUGAUUUCAAUCCCCUGUGCCUUUAGUCUCGGUGCUUCAUCAUUCACGGUCUCAAUUUCAUCCCAAAAAGCCAGCUUCUCCGUGCUUGCGAGAGUCUACGGAUGAACAAAUUCUAGUGAAGAGUCAUGCAUCUUGGAAGGGACCGUCUUAAAAGAACGCGAGUGUCUCGAGAAAACUGUCACUGCCAAAUGCUUAUUGACCGAAGUGGUGAAAGUCUACACAAUGUUUCUAAAAGGUCCUCGCAGAUAUCACACCAGUUCAUUCAAAGAGAACCUUCAAGACUCAAAGUGAGGGACCUGAAACAAUAGUUAGGAGUUUGGAUGCUCACGUUAGUUGUCGAGAGUAUUACUCCGAUUAUUCCUAUCUGAGUUCCAUUUCGUUCAACAAUCGUGCUAUUGGUGUACAAUCCUUGGAUAUCCGGUUCUUCACUAUCGUCAAUAUUUGUAACGACGACCGGAGUGGUGAGCAUUUCCAGAAAAGGCACUACGCCACCAUUCCCGUUGUCAAACUCGUGAUUUCCAAGAGUCUGAAUGAGGAGAAGUUCCAUGACAUCAUAUACGGUAAACAUAGAUACAUAAUUUUGAUGACGAUACUCUGCGGCAAUAAACUUUAUUAAGACGCUCUCGCACGUACCACGUAUUGCUACCUUUAGGCUAUAUCGCCGUUUCACUGUGAUGUAAAAUCUUGAACUUCUUUCCAACUAAAUUCAAUACAAAACCUCGGAUACAA